UACGAAGGGGGCUAGCGUUGUUCGGAGUUACUGGGCGUAAAGGGCGCGUAGGCGGCGCACCAAGUCAGGCGUGAAAGCCCUGGGCUCAACCCGGGAAUUGCGCUUGAGACUGGUGUGCUUGAGUACGGGAGAGGAUAGUGGAAUUCCCAGUGUAGAGGUGAAAUUCGUAGAUAUUGGGAAGAACACCGGUGGCGAAGGCGGCUAUCUGGACCGUAACCGACGCUGAGGCGCGAAAGCGUGGGGAGCAAACAGG
RNAcentral lists this ribosomal RNA (253 nucleotides) under uncultured bacterium. Its description in RNAcentral is "partial 16S ribosomal RNA". It matches the Rfam family "Bacterial small subunit ribosomal RNA", at positions 524 to 776 of the family's 1533-position model. The record is from RNAcentral.